This 807-nucleotide ribosomal RNA is filed under the name uncultured fungus. RNAcentral describes it as "eukaryotic LSU rRNA". The stretch from base 1 to 241 matches the Rfam family "Eukaryotic small subunit ribosomal RNA", at positions 1593 to 1831 of the family's 1831-position model. Lineage: Eukaryota; Fungi. The record is from RNAcentral.
UUGCUCUUCAACGAGGAAUCCCUAGUAAGCGCAAGUCAUCAGCUUGCGUUGAUUACGUCCCUGCCCUUUGUACACACCGCCCGUCGCUACUACCGAUUGAAUGGUUCAGUGAGGCGUUGGGACUGGCCCAGGGAGGUCGGCAACGACCACCCAGGGCCGGAAACUUCUCCAAACUCGAUCAUUUAGAGGAAGUAAAAGUCGUAACAAGGUCUCCGUUGGUGAACCAGCGGAGGGAUCAUUGCUGGAACAAACGCCCUCACGGGCGCUACCCAGAAACCCUUUGUGAACUAUACUUAAUCGUUGCCUCGGCAUUGGUUGACUUCGAAUGAAGUCCCUGAAUUCCUUCUGGAAGUUAGGAGCCGACCGGCCGACGGCCCUUAUAAACUCUUGUUUUUGUAUUAUCUUCUGAGUAAAACAACUAAAAUGAAUCAAAACUUUCAACAACGGAUCUCUUGGUUCUGGCAUCGAUGAAGAACGCAGCGAAAUGCGAUAAGUAAUGUGAACUGCAGAAUUCAGUGAAUCAUCGAAUCUUUGAACGCACAUUGCGCCCAGUGGUAUUCCACUGGGCAUGCCUGUUCGAGCGUCAUUUCAACCCUCAAAAGCUUGCUUUUGGUGUUGGAGGAAUACCUGUAAAAGGGUACCCUCUGAAAUUUAGUGGCGGGCUCGCUAGAAUUUUGAGCGUAGUAAUUUUACCUCGUUUUUAAAGACUAGUGGGACUUCUUGCCGUAAAACCCCCAACUUUCUGAAAUUUGACCUCGGAUCAGGUAGGAAUACCCGCUGAACUUAAGCAUAUCAAUAAGCGGAGGA